GGCAUCAGCAUGAGACUGUGGGUGCUCAGCAAAGGUCCACUGGCAGAAUGGAGAGGUAAUAAAUUGACAGGAUAAGUAGCAAGUACCUUUUGUUUGGCUCAUCCUUGAUUAGCUACUUCAACCUGUAAACUUGGUCUUUUUGGAUUCCCUGAAAUGGAGGAACACAGUCCUCAGUUUCACCUUCCAGUAGUCAGUGACAGCAGAAAUGGCUCAUGGAGCUACAGUCAGCGGUUACUGUGGCAGCCCUGGGUGUAUAUGGUUUUAGCAAAAUUCAGCACAGAAGUGGGGAUGAGGGAUCUACUGGUGCCUAAAAUAUAACCUGAGACCCACAGAGUGCCUAAACUGUUUACUAGCAAAAGCUGUGAGGGCAUAUAAGGGGAAGAUCCUUGUACACAAAAUGUGAUUCCGUUCUUUCUAAACAUCUGCUUGACCACCAUCAGAGAGAGGCUACUGGGCUUAACAAACCCUUUUUUUGAUGCAAUGUGGCCUUUCUUAAUCUAUGUGAGGGUGUACUAUUGCAUACCCAGUGCUUCUCUCUCAGUGGCAUUCCCUCUAUUGCAGAUAGCACUGCAGACACCUGGGCAGAGAUCAAGGCCCUUGCUCUCCAUCUCCAUGAGUCAAGCCAAUGAAAAGUCACUUUCAUCCCACAUGGGAGCAGAAAUACUAAUGCAGAGGGCAGCCAAGAAUUGCCCUCUUGCUCUGGGGUCUUGCAAAGGCAAUCUUAGCAAAUUGGGGCAGGUAUUAGUUUGUUUGCCAUCUCUGCCCUGAGUUACUACAAGGGAGAUAUGUUGGACCAGAAACAUAAAUGAAGCACAGGAAUUUUAUUAGUGAGUGAACACUGAAACUGCUACUCAUGGUGUAUAGUUUGCAAUUUUAGGUUAUUUGCUGCAUGUGUAUUCACCAGACAUAAAUAUCUGACAGGAAUUACACUUAGUGAUACUGUUGGAAACCAGAGUCAUAUCUACUUUAUGAGUUCAUAAAAGGACCCUUUCAACUUUAAAACACCAUGGUAGCAAGCUAUACAGAUGUGCAAGUUAUACAGAUGUGUUUUUUAAGCAUGUGCUUUCAUCCAGGGCCAGUCCUCGAGACACACGUCAAGUUGAGCAAGCAGGGGAGUAAUUUUCUCAACCAGACCUACGUGCAUUUUCCAGUCACUCUUAGAAUUUAAAAAACUGGAGUUAUCUUAAUAUUUUUGAGCCUUGUCUUUGUAAGGAAGUCAUAAUCGGAUAAAGUAUUUCCAGUUGGAGGAAGAAAAUUACAGUUUUGGAGCAGCUUCUCUGUUUUGCCAUUUGUUUUUAUUCUUCCCAUCCAACAUGGUGAUAGUGAUGGAUGAGGAGGUGCCCAGGUGAAGUAUCAAAGGACAGCUGGGUUAUUGGGUUAUUGUCUUCUGUCCAGAGCUGUGUGGGUAACCCCAGCUUUUCCUUCCCAAGGGCAUAGCUGAAGGUAAACAGUGCUGUUCCAAACCUGAUUUAAACAAUAUUGAACGUGCUCUCCUUUGAGAGACACUGAACAGGUGAGCUCAUCCACUUGUUUUUAUCCACCACUACAAGCAAUCUUUGUUGCACACAAAGACUUAAUCUAGUUUGUGACAGCUCUCAAGUAUUUUCUCUCUAUUUAACUUUUCUCAUGGAAUAUAAUUUGUCUUAAAGCCUGUGGGCUUCCCCAAAGCAGAGAAAUCACCAAAAAUGUCUCUACAGCAAUUUCUUCUCUUAGGAUCUACCCCCUUUCCUGGUGAUGUCUGUAAGGGCAGCAAGGCCCAGGUACCACUUUAUUCUUUAGUCCAUAUAACACUGAAGGCUCUUGGUGAUGGUGUCCUGCUCCUGCACAAGCCCCAGGUAUGCCAGUGGUGAGCUGAGAGAUCUGGUCUUUGCUGUAAGUAAAAGAGGUCAGGACAGAAGGAGUGGGUCUCUGAUGAGUUGCAUGCUAAAGCAGAUCCACCUUCUGCCAGUUGCGUGAUUAUACACUGGGACAUGAUUUUUUAAUGGAGAUGGAAAACAGACAUUCUGACAGGACUGAAUUUUGCUCAGGGCUAUCUGUGUGCUACUCUCAGUGAAGAGUCUUGGCCGAAUUUGUUCCUGGAUAGAGAAGACACAACUCUGCUGAGGCAUGAUAGAGCUGAGUUUGAUACUGAAGUGCAGCUGUAGACAAGUAUUCCAUGUUGUCUCCUGUCAGGGCAGAGAGAGGAGCCCUGUGAGAUGCUAGUUAUGAAAUCCUACUGCUGCCCUGUGCUUGUUUGUCUAGCAAGCACGCAGAUUUAAACAAAAAUAUUUUGGUUAUCUAAUUGAUCUUUAUUUUCAAAUCUUUUAAGCUUGUCUUGUUGAACAUGCUCACUGUGAAUAUGUUGUUGAGGCUUAACCUGUUCUGAGAUUUCAGAAAAUCUUAAAGAAUUUCAGAGUUUCAUGGGUGUAGAAUUGGACUGAAAUAUAAAUAAAUGAACAAACAGAGAGAGAAAGAAAAAAUUGCUGAAAGGAUUAAUCUGUAGUUGCAUUUCAACUCCUGCAAUGCAAGAGGAGAAAAACUUUUCUAAGUUCAUGGAUGUGCAUCUUGCUGGAAGGGAUCAUGUCAGAGCAAAGUGACAUUUUUUUCCCUUUGGUGAUCUGCUAGCAGGGCUUUGGAAAGCACUGGUGCUCUAAGUAUGGCAGCAUUAUCACAAUAUAAUUCAAUAUAAUUAUGGAUAGAAUUUCUUUCCCUUUUAAAAUGGUACUUUUUUUGAGAUGCCUAUACUGGUACUGAACCACCUGUCUGGAAGGCUUCAGGGCAAGUCUGAGACUGUUGGAAGGGGAACUGCAUUGAGAUAGAGGUAAGCUUGGCUGAACAGUAGAAGGGUAAAUGUAUCAAGUGUAUUAUUCCUUGGGCCAUAUCAGAUGGGAAGUUAGAUGAGGUGAUUUGAUAAUCAAGCCUAAACCAGCCAUUGCUGAACUAAUAGGAGACAGCAAAUAUGUAAGUUAAUGCCAAGAUAUCAACAAUGAUGGGUUCCUCAGGGGACUUCAAGAAAUACUGGAAAGGAGUUUUAGUCCAGCAAACUAUAUUUCCCAUAUUCUGUGCACCUUUGGCAAUCCCACUGAAGGAAUAGCAUUUAUUCUUGUCUCCUGGCUGAGCCCUGUUUAGCUAUCUUGGUGGGCUGUCAGCUUAACAUUAUCCUGCAAGGAAGAAAAUAGGGCCAAGUCCCUUGUGGCCUCAGGGAUGGAAAAGGGAAUGGUUUGGCAGUAUGACUGGACACUUCCCCAUACAAGGAGUACUGUAUAAUGGUGCUAGAGAUGGAACUCACCACCUUCUGCUGGCAGUCCUGGUAUUCCAUAGAUAGUCCCACCUAACUGAGCUGAUGCAAAAGAUCCUGCCAAUAACAGUACUGGAGAACAGUACCCUUCAUUUAUCCAUUGAACUCACUGAAUGCUUCACCUUACAAUGCACAGCUGUGGUACCCUGUGUGGGAAGCUGGUAUUUCACAUGAUAGCUCACAGGGGCUCAUAUGAAGUCCAUUUGAGUUACUUCCUGAGAGGUUCAAAAGGUCACUUCUGGGUGAUGGCCAAUGGUUGUCUGCCAGCUGUGAUAGCUGGACCAAUCUGACUCUACCUCUUGCACCAAAAGUGACUUUACCACCUAAUCCCCUCCAUCGCUGAGCAGCCAACCACUGAAAAUUAUUUUAAGUCUUUUCUGUCUCUGCAGGGCCCAAAAUUAAUGUGUAGAAGGCAAAGCUCUCUUCUGCUACUAUUGCAUGUGGCAGCUUGUUUACUCCUUAUUUGUGAAAGAAUGUUUCUUUGGAGUCUUUUUAGGAAAAGUCAAAUAUGACAAAAGGGUGUGGAAAAAAAGGAUGGAAUCAAGAUGCUUUCAAUGAAAGAGGAAAUAAUUCUGAGAAACACAGCAAUUUAGACAUUAAAGUCUUCUUUCUCCAUGAGAGAAGACCCAAUUCAUUAAAAGAGUCAUAAAACCCUUUAAAUCAGGCUGUGGUACCUUUUGGGAAGAUGAUUGCCAGUUCAAGAUCUGUUCAAUGUGGAGAAGUACAAAUGUACCAGUUUUAAUCAUGAGAAAUAACUUCUCUUUUAUCAAAUCAUCUCUGCUGGAAAUAGUUUCGCUCUGUGCAGUAAUGAUAAUGUGUGCACUUAUCAUUCGGUACCUUCCCAAGACAAGCAGCCAGCCAUGGGAUGUAAUUUAACAACUUAUCAACCCCAGUUUCAUCCAGCCCUUUCCAGCCAGAAGGGUAUUUCACACUAUUUAAGUGACUACACCAGAUAUUGCCAUCAAUUUAAGGUUUUACCAGCCCCUAGUCAUUAAAAUUUUCCACUCAGCACUUCACUUUAUAACCUGGGGACGUAGCUGCUGAACGGCAUCAGGAGCCCCACGGAAUUAUCUGCGUUGUGCAGGUGAUGGGAUAAUUUACCAAAAGAAUGCAAAUCACUGAUUGGCUCUCAAAGACUGCAAUCAUGAUUAGCUGUAUGUGUCAUAUACAGAGGCUGGAAAAGGAAAGAAAAAAGGAGUAUCUGUGGCAUGCUUAUACCCUCCCUUCUGUCUUUGCAGAUGGAGGUGUCUCUCCGAGGUUGUGCCUGUUGAGCUCUCAGAGGGUGGGAUCUGGCACCAAACUCAGUGGGUUGCACAUAAUCUCCAGUGCAGCAGGGAGGCAAAGAAUGUUGGAGAGGUCCCACAGUUCACUGCCCUGCAAUCCUUUGUCGUAGGUCCAGGUCUAGAGGAGCCCUGGCUUCAAGGUAAGGGUUUGUCUUAGUGUAAAGGCAUUAUUGAAGUCUUAUAAAAGUCAAACACGCAGGAGUUGUGCUCAGGAGUGGUUACUCGUUUUGGUCCUAGUGAGGAACUGGCUGGUGGUGGACACAGGGCAGCACUUCUCUGUGCAUCACGUGCAGUGCUUUGAGUGAGUUUGGGAUCCCCUCUCUGCUGAAAACACCUGCUUGGUGGUGUAUCAUUUCUUUUUGGAUGACAGGUUCAAAUGAAAAGAGGUUAGAGGGACUUACCCACCCAAAGAAGCUUUUCCUCAUCCCAAAUUUCUACAACAGUGACCCUAGUUUUCCAUUGUAGUCAGGAUACACAAAACCAACACAGUCUUGGGUCUUCCCCUUCUUGUCCUCAACCUUAAACUGUGUUGUUCUUCCCCCUUUCCAUAGAGAAUGGGAUGAGCAUCUUAGCAACAGACUUUUGCAUUGCAAAUAGUGAGAGUCCAAUUUGCUCCCAUUGGGAUAGAUUUUAUGAGACUGGGAGCCAUCCCUCGCCCUUGUAGCAGCCUUCCAUUGACAGUUUUACCAGCACUUACUGGUGCUGCUAGUACAAUCUGAAAAAGAAGCACAAAAGAAGCACUUUUUGGCCUCCUGAUAGACAAAAUAGGGCCGUGUGGUCUCCAACUGGCUAUUGGAGCUGUGAAUUUCCCCAAAGCCUGCUAAAGCCUCACUGCGGCAUCCUCAAAUUCCUAACUGCACCCCUUACUCCUCCUGGGAACCACACUGCUCAUGGCUGCUUCUUUGCUCUUCCUUCCCACUCACAUCUCUGUUUGGAUGAGGAGACCUGAGAAAUAGUGACAGCCUUCAUAAUUAUCAGCACAGUGGAUGACCUAACAUGAACCUUUUCUCCUGUUAUGGCUGCCUCAAAGCUCACAAGAAUUGAGGUGUCUGCCUAUUUGGUAAACCUGUCUGAGCCUGACCAGCCAAUCCAAAAGUGGUUUGGGGAAUUGGUCUGCAAAUCUCGUUUCCUCAGGAAACCAUCCUUUAUUUAAAACUUUGCUUUAUUUGAACAGAAAUAGUUCCUUUCCUUUGUCUACUUCUUGCUUUUAAAAGAUCCUUAGGA
RNAcentral lists this long non-coding RNA (5784 nucleotides) under Taeniopygia guttata (zebra finch). RNAcentral's name for it is "lncRNA (ENSTGUG00000027616.1)". Lineage: Eukaryota; Metazoa; Chordata; Aves; Passeriformes; Estrildidae. The record is from RNAcentral.